Molecule: unclassified non-coding RNA, 211 nt
Filed under: uncultured Pezizaceae
Lineage: Eukaryota; Fungi; Ascomycota; Pezizomycetes; Pezizales; Pezizaceae
Description: sequence contains ITS1
Source: RNAcentral
CAAAAUAGAAAAAAUCAUCUAUAUCUUUCUGUUAACAUUAUCCAUGUUUCUUCCACUGGACAGGUUAUAAUUUAUUUUUAUUAAUAAAAUUAUAACCCUCUAGCUUGUGUAAACAUUCACUUGCUGGAGAGUUGCCAGUGGGCAAUUUUACCAAAACUUGGCUUUUAUGAUUUAAGAUCUUCAAUUGUAUUGAAAAGGGGAAUUGAAAAAA